Molecule: long non-coding RNA, 549 nt
Organism: Mesocricetus auratus (golden hamster)
Lineage: Eukaryota; Metazoa; Chordata; Mammalia; Rodentia; Cricetidae
Exons: 2
Source: RefSeq, a predicted model, not a curated record
GUUCCGGUAUUUCUGAAUCAGCCUCCGCCGGGAGGGGCCCCCGGAAACGAUUUUAGCUGUCUUGGCGCAUUGGAGGCAGUAGUUGGAACUGCAGGAAGAAGACAAAACUGCCUAUACAGCCAGUCCAGUGCCUCACUGGGACCCCUGGAAAUUCACUUCUAGAAACCUUUAGUAAACGUCUCAAACGAAUCAGUGCACAACUGGAAUCCUAAUAUUUGGGAGUUGGAGACUAGAGAAUCAGGAGUUCGAGGUCAGCCUGAGCUAUAUGAACCCCUGUCUCAAAAGACCGGAGCCGGUGAUGUAGUUCACUUGGUAGGUUGAUUGCCUAGGAUUCUUAACGUCCUGGGUUCAGUCCCCAGGAAGGACGUGAAUCCUGACGCUAUGUAAUGCCGGCGCUCAAGACAGCAGAGGCCUGAGCCUCAGAAGUUCUACAUCCUGUUCUACACUGAGAGAUUCGAGACAGGAAAUAAGGGGAGUGGAAUUUUUAAAACCUGACAAUGUCUAGUUAUAAUGGAGAUGGAAAUAACUUUAAAGGACACAAACAAGAAA